UAAGACCAUUAAUAGAGCUGCUAACUCUAUAGAAAUGUAAACCAUUUGGUCUUUA
Molecule: transfer RNA, 55 nt
Filed under: Alectorobius peruvianus
Lineage: Eukaryota; Metazoa; Arthropoda; Arachnida; Ixodida; Argasidae
Description: tRNA-Ser
Source: RNAcentral